UUUAUGGAGAGUUUGAUCCUGGCUCAGGAUGAACGCUGGCGGCGUGCCUAAUACAUGCAAGUCGAGCGAACGGACGAGAAGCUUGCUUCUCUGAUGUUAGCGGCGGACGGGUGAGUAACACGUGGAUAACCUACCUAUAAGACUGGGAUAACUUCGGGAAACCGGAGCUAAUACCGGAUAAUAUUUUGAACCGCAUGGUUCAAAAGUGAAAGACGGUCUUGCUGUCACUUAUAGAUGGAUCCGCGCUGCAUUAGCUAGUUGGUAAGGUAACGGCUUACCAAGGCAACGAUGCAUAGCCGACCUGAGAGGGUGAUCGGCCACACUGGAACUGAGACACGGUCCAGACUCCUACGGGAGGCAGCAGUAGGGAAUCUUCCGCAAUGGGCGAAAGCCUGACGGAGCAACGCCGCGUGAGUGAUGAAGGUCUUCGGAUCGUAAAACUCUGUUAUUAGGGAAGAACAUAUGUGUAAGUAACUGUGCACAUCUUGACGGUACCUAAUCAGAAAGCCACGGCUAACUACGUGCCAGCAGCCGCGGUAAUACGUAGGUGGCAAGCGUUAUCCGGAAUUAUUGGGCGUAAAGCGCGCGUAGGCGGUUUUUUAAGUCUGAUGUGAAAGCCCACGGCUCAACCGUGGAGGGUCAUUGGAAACUGGAAAACUUGAGUGCAGAAGAGGAAAGUGGAAUUCCAUGUGUAGCGGUGAAAUGCGCAGAGAUAUGGAGGAACACCAGUGGCGAAGGCGACUUUCUGGUCUGUAACUGACGCUGAUGUGCGAAAGCGUGGGGAUCAAACAGGAUUAGAUACCCUGGUAGUCCACGCCGUAAACGAUGAGUGCUAAGUGUUAGGGGGUUUCCGCCCCUUAGUGCUGCAGCUAACGCAUUAAGCACUCCGCCUGGGGAGUACGACCGCAAGGUUGAAACUCAAAGGAAUUGACGGGGACCCGCACAAGCGGUGGAGCAUGUGGUUUAAUUCGAAGCAACGCGAAGAACCUUACCAAAUCUUGACAUCCUUUGACAACUCUAGAGAUAGAGGCUUCCCCUUCGGGGGACAAAGUGACAGGUGGUGCAUGGUUGUCGUCAGCUCGUGUCGUGAGAUGUUGGGUUAAGUCCCGCAACGAGCGCAACCCUUAAGCUUAGUUGCCAUCAUUAAGUUGGGCACUCUAAGUUGACUGCCGGUGACAAACCGGAGGAAGGUGGGGAUGACGUCAAAUCAUCAUGCCCCUUAUGAUUUGGGCUACACACGUGCUACAAUGGACAAUACAAAGGGCAGCAAAACCGCGAGGUCAAGCAAAUCCCAUAAAGUUGUUCUCAGUUCGGAUUGUAGUCUGCAACUCGACUACAUGAAGCUGGAAUCGCUAGUAAUCGUAGAUCAGCAUGCUACGGUGAAUACGUUCCCGGGUCUUGUACACACCGCCCGUCACACCACGAGAGUUUGUAACACCCGAAGCCGGUGGAGUAACCUUUUAGGAGCUAGCCGUCGAAGGUGGGACAAAUGAUUGGGGUGAAGUCGUAACAAGGUAGCCGUAUCGGAAGGUGCGGCUGGAUCACCUCCUUU
This 1552-nucleotide ribosomal RNA is filed under the name Staphylococcus argenteus. Its description in RNAcentral is "16S ribosomal RNA". It matches the Rfam family "Bacterial small subunit ribosomal RNA". The record is from RNAcentral. Lineage: Bacteria; Bacillati; Bacillota; Bacilli; Caryophanales; Staphylococcaceae.